This 497-nucleotide ribosomal RNA is filed under the name uncultured bacterium. RNAcentral describes it as "partial 16S ribosomal RNA". It matches the Rfam family "Bacterial small subunit ribosomal RNA", at positions 28 to 507 of the family's 1533-position model. The record is from RNAcentral.
GACGAACGCUGGCGGCGUGCCUAAUACAUGCUAGUAGAACGCUGAAGAGAGGAGCUUGCUCUUCUUGGAUGAGUUGCGAACGGGUGAGUAACGCGUAGGUAACCUGCCUUGUAGCGGGGGAUAACUAUUGGAAACGAUAGCUAAUACCGCAUAACAAUAGGUGACACAUGUCAUUUAUUUGAAAGGGGCAAUUGCUCCACUACAAGAUGGACCUGCGUUGUAUUAGCUAGUAGGUGAGGUAACGGCUCACCUAGGCGACGAUACAUAGCCGACCUGAGAGGGUGAUCGGCCACACUGGGACUGAGACACGGCCCAGACUCCUACGGGAGGCAGCAGUAGGGAAUCUUCGGCAAUGGGGGCAACCCUGACCGAGCAACGCCGCGUGAGUGAAGAAGGCUUUCGGAUCGUAAAGCUCUGUUGUAAGUCAAGAACGAGUGUGAGAGUGGAAAGUUCACACUGUGACGGUAGCUUACCAGAAAGGGACGGCUAACUACGUG